This is a long non-coding RNA of Cloeon dipterum, 548 nucleotides long. RefSeq lists it as uncharacterized. NCBI's taxonomy places the organism in Eukaryota, Metazoa, Arthropoda, Insecta, Ephemeroptera, Baetidae. The record is from RefSeq and is a predicted model, not a curated record. The transcript has 3 exons.
UAGGACUGGUAAAGUCGAGGAAAAGGUUAUUUUAAGAUAAAUUAAUAGUUUAAUUAUAUAAUACAACCAAGGUGUACAACUCAACCAAAAUCAACGUGCACGGGUUCCUGAAAAUGAUGUCCAGAUUAUUCAAUCCCUUUGACUACGAUUCAAUGGAGAAUAAGAAGAGUGACCGAACGGCGUUAAUCUCGUCGUUCAAAACCCUUCACGAGGCGAAGAAGAUGAGCAAUUUCAUUGUUGAUAUGAAAAAUGAUGUGAUGGAUGACUAUUUCUCGGCCCACUUUGAUUUUUCCUACAAAAUGAUCAUCAAACUCAAUGAAUGCAGGGGAAUCAAAAUAACGAACGAGGAAACGUUUGCGUUUGACUUCCUGGUGUGUUUCCUUCAGUCCAAAGCAGUGGCCCGUUUCUGGAGGUUUUACGAAUUCCCGUUGGAAGUAUUUUACUUAACUUAUUUUGCCAACGAGUCUUUUCAAUUUAUUUUCCACCUAUUUUACAGAAAAGCAGUGUGAUUCCCGCGGAAAACGAUCUUAACUCACCGUGCUUGACGU